CUGCAAGUCGAACGAGUAGCCGGCUUCGGCCGGCGAGAGUGGCGGACGGGUGAGUAACGCGUGGGAAUCUGCCCAGUAGUGGGGGACAACCCGGGGAAACUCGGGCUAAUACCGCAUACGCCCUACGGGGGAAAGCGGGGGACCGCAAGGCCUCGCGCUAUUGGAUGAGCCCGCGUCCGAUUAGCUUGUUGGUGGGGUAAUGGCCUACCAAGGCGACGAUCGGUAGCUGGUCUGAGAGGACGAUCAGCCACACUGGGACUGAGACACGGCCCAGACUCCUACGGGAGGCAGCAGUGGGGAAUAUUGGACAAUGGGCGAAAGCCUGAUCCAGCAAUGCCGCGUGUGUGAAGAAGGCCUGCGGGUUGUAAAGCACUUUCGGUAGGAAAGAAAAGACCGACGCUAAUACCGGCGUUCU
Molecule: ribosomal RNA, 415 nt
Filed under: uncultured bacterium
Lineage: Bacteria
Description: bacterial SSU rRNA
Rfam family: Bacterial small subunit ribosomal RNA
Source: RNAcentral